CUCUCUCUCUCUCUGCUCUGCCUCUCUCUCUCUCUCUCUCUCUCUCUGUGUCAGUGUUACUGUCUGUCUCUGCAGGUCUCUGUUGUACUUUUAGUAUAUCUGGGGUGAGCAUUUUAACCUCACUAUUAAACAUUACAAGCCAGUAUUUAAUUAAAGUUUAAAAUUAUUAUUAUUAUUAUUAUUAUUGAGAACUUGCUGAUUUUGCAUCUCAUAUUAAUGAAAUAUCUAGAUUAAAAUAUGAGCACCAGCAUGAAUGCCAAAUAAACUAGAUCAAAACUCUGCUUUAGUUGUUAUUUUAAAAUGAGACACAGACUCAAAAAUAGCUAAAAGGCACCGCAGUUCACACAGAACCUGGAAGCUGGGGGCUUAAAGCACCAGAGACAGUAAUAGAAAAAUCAGCCAGGCAGCUGAGCUCACGAUCAAUUCACUUCAACUUAAGUCGAUUAAGUUGUUGAAAGUAAAAUGCAUUGUGCCCUAAAUCUGUCUGUACAGGUGUGGGAGUGGUGUGAUCCAUCAUUUCAGGUAGGAGGAAGAGAGAAAAAGAGACAACAACCCUGGAACAUUUUUUCCCAACAGUGGAAAAGACGACAUGCAGAUGUUGGAAUCAGUGGAAACGGAUAGGGAAAUCUGUCUCUCUCUCUCUCUCUCUCUCUCCCUGUGUGCCCCUGAGGAAUUUUGAACAAACAAUUUAAAAGCUUGCCAAGAUCCUUACAAAAGCAACAUCUUUAUCACAGAGGUGGAGCAUAGACAGGAACUGAGACUGGGUGGAUAAAGUAAUUAUUUAUUUAUUUGGACGUGGUUGAAACAUGAGCUGAUAGACGUGUUUCUUUUUUGCUUUUUCCAGAAAAAACAAAUCGACAAAGCGCUUGUGUGGUCAUCUGUACAGUCGAUAAUAGGUCAGUGUAAUUGAUAUGAUGUAAUGAUCCGCAGUGAUUCUUCCAUUUUGUUUUGCUUAAACAAAAUGACAUUUCUGCCAGUCGCCAUGGUAUCAUUACAAGCUACACAUACAAAGGCAUUCGUGUGACUACACAUCACAUGAGAAAUGAAAAUGAGAUUAGGAAAGGCGUAUGAAAUGUUAGAAUGAUCCUAAUCAGUGUAUUGCGCUUCACUAACUUUGCAGGCUAUUAAACAGGUUUAAAGUGUACAAUAUACCUCCAGAGGUUGGGGGUUCGGUUCCUCUCUGUGUGUGUGUGUGUGUAUGGCGUUUUCAUGUUUUCCCCAAGCGUUUCCACUGGGUACUCUGGUCUCCUUCCCUAGUCCAAAGACUUGCUCUGUAGGCUGACUACCAUCUCUAUAUUGUUCAUAGUGCCCCUCAUCUUCAGGUAUAGACUCCAGGUUCAGUGUGACCCUGUGUAGGAAAAGUGCUGUAGAAAAUAGAUAUAUAGAUGCAUAGCUGGAUACAAACAAAAGACUAUUUACAAGAAAAACUGACAAAAGUAGCAUAGCAUAGCAGCACAAUGGGACCUUGACUGACCUUGACUUGUAAGUAGGGACCAACAUCUGGAACCACACUGUUUCACUGUGGAGGAGGAAAACUGAACCUGAGAUUUGGUAGUGUUUGGUUUAUGGUUGUAAAAACCCUCCUAUUUUAAUCGCUGAUUAUGGAAAUGAAUUAAUAUACAAAUAGAUUAAUAAAUGUGGCUUAUAAAUAAAAUCUUUUGACUUUUUGUUUUUUUUCUGCAGUAAUAUAUUGCAAGAAAACCCCUGAGGAACAGCUUCAUAUUUUGUAACUGUACUGAUUUUCUUAUAAUCUAAUAAUAACCAGUUUAAAUUGCAAUUAAGGAAGUUUAUCUCAAAUAAAAGCAUAUGAUACUUGAAAUCUGGAUUGAAAUGGAUCUUCUUUAUCUAAACUGUAUCACAUAGACAAUACUAAACUAACCAUCCUCACAAACCUGAGAAAUUUCCACUCUAGUUUAAUAACAUGAAAACAAAUGUAAUAUAUGUCUGAAAUGUAAACAGUUUAGUUUUUCUUUUUCUUCCCAAUUUAGUCCUAGCCAAUUCCCACCCACCAGUCUUCCCAAUUACGCGACGGUUACUGAGGUGGGAUGAUGCCAGCCAACUGCGACGUUUCAAUCUGUUCAUGUGGCGUCACAGGGCAGAGGAUCUAGGAAGAAAAGUGCCAUCUGCUAGCUGUCCUAGCCAGAAAGCAUGGCCAGAUUGGCUUUUUUGGUUCAUGACCAUUGAUAGCUGUUGUAUUAUUGGGAUUCAGCUUCAUGAUCAUAAACAUUCGGUAUAUUUCCUUAAGCUUUUGUUUUUUCUUAAUGCUCAUACGCCUCAUUGAUAUGUUGUUACUUCUUUUGCUUACUUUUUUUAGUAACAUAUUAGUGUUUUAUCUUCUGCUUUUCUUUAUUUAACUAAUAAUCUUCUUCGUCAUUCAGUGUUCUGCUUGUGACAGAGCGGGUCUUGCUCAACCAUGUUAAACAACAUUAAACUGUUUUUUUCCUAAUUCAGACAGACUGCUCCCCUUGCCUUCUUGUUCUCCAUACACGUUUGCACAUGACUAUCUGCUUGUGUGUGCUUUAAAGCUCCAUUAAAACCCAGCUUUAUGCUCUGUGUGCUGUAAAAGUAGCAGUACUUCUGCUUCCCCCAGCAAAUUAUACUGUGUACUGAAUUACAUCCUACCCAGUUAUAUAGCUCUGUGUGCUCUUGCGUUACUGUUACUGUUCAAAUAAACCUGAUUUGUUAGUUGCUACAUCUCUUUGCUUAGAAUUUGCAAGUUUUCACAUUGCUUUGCCUUCUGGUUUUGCAUCGCUAACAGUUGCUUUGCCUGCUGCUGUUGUCACCAGGUCACACUGAAGACUCUCGGGUUCUUGGCUACGUCGCUGCUGCAGUUAUAGCGUUGCGCAGCGAAGUGCACUGGGUCAGUAAACGAGUGUGUCUCUGUUAACCUUGUCUCGCUUUUUGUUAACACCACAUCAGAGCCUCAUUCACGCAAACAAUACGAUCUCCGAUGCAGGAAGUCUCCCCCAUGUCUCUUUUGCCAAGGCCCUGUUGAGACAAGGGUCAGAAAGAAUGUUACUAAGACCGCUGACCACAGGAGGCAAGGAGAAAGCGGGCUUCAGAGCAAGAGAUGGGAAACCCUGGCAGAUAAACAAAGACAAAGCUGUAUUCUGUGCCGGAUUGAGGAAAUCCUAGAUUUUAUUGCUUGUGGCUGUACAGUAAAGUAGAUAUGGGUGACGGCAUAAACUUCAGUGACGGUCACACCCUUCUGAGUCAUGGACUGAGCCUGAUUUCCUUAUGGCACCUCUGGCAUGCUUUGUAGCAGUGGAGCAAUGUCAAGCAUGUUGCACUUUAGCUCCUUUUCCUUAUUCCUGUGUGUGUGUGUGUGUGUGUGUGUUUAUUAUUAUUAUUAUUAUUAUUAUUAUUAUUUCCACUAUUUCUUUUUUUCCCAGUGUCUCCUUGUCAUCAGUCAUCGCUUGCUAUUGAGGUUUACCAGAUGAGGACAGUGAUAGACUUAAUCACUUCCUUUAGUUCUUAGCUGUGUAGCAGCAACAUGUUUUUGUUUUGGUCAUAGAGUUUCAACGUGGAAAUAACACAAGUGCAUGAUGACUGACAAACAAUCCACAAACUGCUUUUGUCAGGCCUGGAGCUGUUUACUCAGAAGAUUUAUUACCGAUUAUUUAUCUUGUUUAUAUCGAUUUAAAACAGCUGGAUCAGCCAGAAAGCAAUCACUGAUCUCACUGUUCUGUUGUUUAAAGACUAAAUGAACUAAACACAGUUCAGGGAUCACUAGUAUAGAGACAUCUAGCCAAGUUGUUUUUCAUUAGGUGGGUCUGGCUUUGCAAGCAGGGUCUAAUCCAAAGGAAGAGUCUUUAAUAAGAGAGAGAGAGAGACAGAGAGAGGGAGAGAGAGAGAGAGCGCUGCCUAGCCCUCUCCCCUUUAUCCCUCCUCUGGACUUCCAGUGUUAAGUGAAGACUGGUACCGUCUCUCAUGUUGUGUGUUUGGAUUUUACGGUGUUUAUCUGCUUUUCUCUGGCUGCUUUCUCUGGCUUUUCUAUUGCUGGUCUAGUUCAGCCUUGUCGAUUUGCUAUGAAGGGACUAAGAGUCUGUCUUAAGUGUACUGGUCAUAAAACCUGAAAUUAGGGAUGAGCGAUGUAUUUAUAGAUCAUGGAUGAUUUAAACCUCUCCAUAAUCUGUUAUUACAUAGAAGUCACGUGUACCAGGAUAGUAAACAUGUUUUAUCUGUUGUGUUUUGAGACAAUGCUUAAACGUGGCAACCCAAGCUGUUUUGAAGCAGACCGUGUUCGUUUAACUAGCAUGUGUUGUCUCAGACAAGAUACACAAACAGACUAUAUAGAAUAAGAGUAGACAGUCUUAGCUUGCCUUUCCUUGUUUUUUAUUUAAAGAAUGACCGUUUUAUUAAAGCCUGACCUCCUUUUAUUUAAAAUGGACACUCUUUAUUUGAAGCCGCCCUUAAUUUAAUUAUUUUUUAUUUUUUAUUAUUAUUUUUUUUUAUUAUUAUUUAUUAUUUUAUUUUUAUUUUUUAUUUUUUAAAGCUUGUUUUGUCUCUGAUAAGAUGCACAAACAAACUAAUAGUAGCUAAGACUAGCCAGUGCUGUUCCUUACACUUCCAGCAUUUUAUAACAACAUAAUACCGAGUAAUUUGGCUGGAAAUGAGAGAUUACUUUUAAAAACAAACAAGUGAAGUGGUUUACGUCAUUAUAGAAAGAAUUGAUUAUAUUUUGAACCCUUUGAUGCACAACAUGGGUCUAUUGUAACCCUACUGAGUUGUUUUAUUUAUUUAUUUUUAAAUUUUUUUGUUUUUAUCUUUGCAAGAAAUCAAUUUCAUCGUUAACUUGAUCAUCGUAUUCCAGACAUUCCUUGUUUUUGAUCAUCACAAAUUUUUAUUUUCAUUUGUCCUUUCUUACUUUCUGAAUAAAAAUCUCUUUUUUUUUUUUUUUUUUUUUUUU
Long non-coding RNA from Hemibagrus wyckioides, 4909 nucleotides. RefSeq lists it as uncharacterized. The record is from RefSeq and is a predicted model, not a curated record. Lineage: Eukaryota; Metazoa; Chordata; Actinopteri; Siluriformes; Bagridae. The transcript has 2 exons.